CCUACGGGAGGCAGCAGUAAGGAAUAUUGGACAAUGCUCGCAAGAGUGAUCCAGCCAUGCCGCGUGCAGGAAGAAUGCCCUAUGGGUAGUAAACUGCUUUUGAACUAGAGAAAACCCCAGUACGUGUACUGGGCUGAUAGUAUAGUUAGAAUAAGCAUCGGCUAACUUCGUGCCAGCAGCCGCGGUAAGACGAAGGAUGCAAGCGUUAUCCGGAUUCAUUGGGUUUAAAGGGAGCGUAGGUGGACUGAUAAGUCAGUGGUGAAAUCUCCGAGCUUAACUCGGAAAUUGCCAUUGAUACUGUUGGUCUUGAGUACAGUUGCUGUGGGCGGAAUAUGACAUGUAGUGGUGAAAUACAUAGAGAUGUCAUAGAACACCGAUUGCGAAGGCAGCUCACAAAGCUGUAACUGACACUGAGGCUCGAAAGUGCGGGGAUCAAACAGGAUUAGAUACCCUGGUAGUCCGCACCGUAAACGAUGAUUACUCGCUGCUAGGGGGCAACCUUUAGUGGCUUAGCGAAAGCGAUAAGUAAUCCACCUGGGGAGUACGCCGGCAACGGUGAAACUCAAAGGAAUUGACGG
Molecule: ribosomal RNA, 578 nt
Filed under: uncultured bacterium
Lineage: Bacteria
Description: bacterial SSU rRNA
Rfam family: Bacterial small subunit ribosomal RNA
Source: RNAcentral